UCACACACUACAGAAUUUGUUUGAAACGCACAAACUUGUCAGAACCAUUCAAAGCACAAAAACAACUACCAAACAGUAAUCAAAUUCUUCGUUGAGCGCUGCCUGAUAGGUCCGAAGACUCGAACCAUGAACAGUGAGAGCAAAUUUGGACACAUAUUCAAGCUUGAUACUGUCUGAAUUGUGAUUGUGACACAAUAAAAGUUUCUGACACAGAAUAAAUGUGGUCAAAGAUAUUAAAAAUACAGUGAAACUAAAGGUUUUGUAUUGAAACUUUUUAAAAA
RNAcentral lists this long non-coding RNA (281 nucleotides) under Mytilus galloprovincialis (Mediterranean mussel). Lineage: Eukaryota; Metazoa; Mollusca; Bivalvia; Mytilida; Mytilidae. The record is from RNAcentral.